AGUGGGUAGAAGUCAUAUCUCUUUAGUUUAUACAGCUCUAUUAACACAUGAUAAGGAAUCUGCCACUGACAAGUUGGACGCAUGGAGGGCUGACAUCCAAGAGGAGAUACAGGAGGUGGACUGGGAAACUACAUGUUUAAAAGCCCAAAGACAAUCAAUUAAUACAAGGAUGAAACUCCUCCAAUAUAAGUAGUUGAUGAGAACUUACAUAACCCCAGCCAAACUGAAUCGCUGGUCGCCUGUCAUCCCAGAUAGCUGCAGUAAAUGUUUAGACAAGAAGGGCACUCUGCUUCACUGUGUAUGGAGCUGUCCAAAAUUACAGCAGUACUGAAAAUUAAUCACGCAAACUUUAUCUGAGAUUGUUGGAGUAAAUAUACCUGUUGAAGCAAAAAUGUGUGUGUUGGGUAUAUAUCCAAAGAACUGUGACUUUAGUACCAGACAGCUAAAAUUAAUUGACUUUGGACUCCUGCAGGCUAAACGCUUAAUAUCUUUGUAUUGGAAGAAAAUGGAUGUACCCUCAAGUCAUAUGUGGGUGAAGGAGAUGACAUCAUGUAUUGUAUUGGAAUUAAUUUAGAAAAUGAUACUUGGUACUGAGUUUUGGGGGUUUUGUGUGUGUGUGUGUUUUUUUGUUGUUGUCUGUUUCUUUGUUUUUGUUGUUUUUAUUUUUCGUUCGCGUCUUGCUUUGUUUGUUUUACCCAUGCUGUGCAUCGGUUUUGUUUUAUUUUAUUAUUUAUUUAUUUAUAUUAUUAUUGUUGUUGUUUCUUUUAAUUUAUAGUUGUUUAUUUUGUUCUGUAAUAUAAAUCUCAUGUUAACUGUACUAUUAUUCUUUGCUUGUUCUGUAAUAUAAAACUCAAUAAACAUACUGUUUAAAAAAAGUAUUAGGAGAACAUAAUACUUAUAUAGAAGUGAUAAAUCAGCCUCCAUCUUAGUUUGACUAAGGUGGAUGAGGGGGCUGAUCAAUUACAGGGACAGGUGGUGAUAAGUGUGAAAUUUGACCUGCAGGCAUUUAAAAAGUAGAGCAGUGGAUUAGGAUCCCACUGUUUUUGGUGGAGUCAGCUUCCCUGAACUCACCAGGUGAGAUGAGAUGGGGUACUUUUUUCCUUGCUGAGCUUAGAUAUGUCCAGGCUGGAUGGACCCACCCCCAAGGUGCCCAUGGCUCUUUCUAUUGUGCAACCCCACCCCUGGUGACCUUGUUAACAUGUGACAAAAUGAGGACCAACAUAUGGGCAAGACAGAAUAAGUGCAAAUCUGUGUCUGUGUGUGAUCCACUGUUGGUGAAUAAAUGCCGAGGUUUCAGGCGUGCAAGUCCUUGAGAUGCCAGUGUCACAGGUGUAACAGAUCUGGGAACAACAACUUGUGAUACAGUCAGUUUUGGUUAUAACAUUCAGUUUGUCAGCAGGACUGCAAUCCAAACCGUAGUAUUUUUUUACCAUGUGAUUUUCUGGUGACAAGCAGAACAAUUUAAGCGUACACUGAGAAAAAACUGAGAGUAAGAAAACAAGAGAGAGAAAGAGAAAGGUUGCACGGAGACUCUUGUGUUUUUAUGUGUGUGCAGUCUU
Molecule: long non-coding RNA, 1559 nt
Organism: Astatotilapia calliptera (eastern happy)
Lineage: Eukaryota; Metazoa; Chordata; Actinopteri; Cichliformes; Cichlidae
Source: Ensembl